AUCUGUGCGCGUGAGUUUAGAAUCGUAUUUAAUUAGGUUUCGCUAUCAAGAUGUGUUUUAAUUGAUUAUUUUAUUACAUUUGUUUUUGAUAUAAGACUGUCUUCAGAGCUUAGCGAUUAUUUUGUUAAUUUAAUUAUGUGUAAAAUAUGUAUUGCGUAAUUUUUGUCAGCUGAAUUUUUUGAUGCAAAGAAUGACGCAAAUAAAGGAAUGCACAUUGAGUGAUAGAGAGAGAUAGAGAGUGGCAAAAUAAUGCGCGCUUGUGAGCGGGAAAUAAUAAGAGAGACACAAAUGAGUGUCUGUGUAAUAAUUCUCAACCGGUUCUAGGGCCGGUUUUAGUGAAUCGCUUAACUCAAGCAGCAACUGAACCUUUGUGCAUCAGCACAGUUGGUCUUGGUCUUUAACGAAGAUUUUAUUUCUCAGGAAUACAUAUAUCAAGAAUGCAGACAUGUGCUCUCAACAUUGCGGCGCAUCAGUUCAGAUUUUGUUGCUGCCAUUCAGAUUCAGAUUCAGUUGUUAUCUGUAAGUCGCCCCGUGUCGUCGAAUGUGCGGAUUGAACGCAUUCACCAUACGCAUCGCUCCCUAUACUAAACCAAGGGUGUUCGGUAUUCUAUUUGAUUGAGGUAAACAAAACAAAGGCGUGCAUUAUAAGAAUAAUAAAAGCCUCUGGGCAUUGCCUGAACAUAUAUGAGUCUCUCGUGUGGCAUAUGCCUAAGAUAAUGUGCGUGCAAUAAAAAACGGUAAAUCGCGUGUAAUUUCAAAUCAUAA
Molecule: small RNA, 765 nt
Filed under: Drosophila mojavensis
Lineage: Eukaryota; Metazoa; Arthropoda; Insecta; Diptera; Drosophilidae
Description: GI25735
Source: RNAcentral